UACGUAGGGUGCAAGCGUUGUCCGGAAUUAUUGGGCGUAAAGAGCUCGUAGGCGGUUUGUUGUGUCGGCUGUGAAAUCCCGAGGCUCAACCUCGGGUCUGCAGUCGAUACGAGCAAACUAGAGUGUUGCAGGGGAGACUGGAAUUCCUGGUGUAGCGGUGAAAUGCGCAGAUAUCAGGAGGAACACCGGUGGCGAAGGCGGGUCUCUGGGCAACAACUGACGCUGAGGCACGAAAGCGUGGGUAGCAAACAGG
RNAcentral lists this ribosomal RNA (253 nucleotides) under uncultured bacterium. Its description in RNAcentral is "partial 16S ribosomal RNA". It matches the Rfam family "Bacterial small subunit ribosomal RNA", at positions 524 to 776 of the family's 1533-position model. The record is from RNAcentral.